Molecule: ribosomal RNA, 440 nt
Filed under: uncultured bacterium
Lineage: Bacteria
Description: partial 16S ribosomal RNA
Rfam family: Bacterial small subunit ribosomal RNA
Source: RNAcentral
CCUACGUGUGGCAGCAGUGGGGAAUAUUGCACAAUGGGGGAAACCCUGAUGCAGCGACGCCGCGUGAGUGCAGAAGGAUUUCGGUAUGUUAAGCUCUAUCAGCCGGGAAGAAAAUGACGGUACCUGAUUCAGAAGCCCCGGCUGACUACGUGCCAUCAGCCGUGGUUAUACGUAGGGGGCAAGCGUUAUCCGGAUUUACUGGGUGUAAAGGGCGCGUAGCCGGCAGCACCAGUACGGAGUGAAAUGCCGGGGGUUAACCCCCGAACUGCUUUGGAAACUGUGCAGCUAGAGUGCAGGAGAGGUAAGUGGAAGGCGUGGUGUAGCGGUGAAAGGCGUAGAUAUUAGGAGGAACACCAGUGGCGAAGGCGGCUUACUGGACUGUAACUGACGUUGAGGCUCGAAAGCGUGGGGAGCAAACAGGAUUAGAUACCCCAGUAGUC